Molecule: RNA transcript, 5345 nt
Organism: Physeter macrocephalus (sperm whale)
Lineage: Eukaryota; Metazoa; Chordata; Mammalia; Artiodactyla; Physeteridae
Gene: CTNNBIP1
Gene name: catenin beta interacting protein 1
Exons: 5
Source: RefSeq, a predicted model, not a curated record
UUGUGUUGUUUGGUGGGUGGGACGCCUUCUCGGGCAGGUGCAGGACUUGCCCAUCAGCUACCCGGGAGUGAUUCACUCUGGUCCUCGACCUCUCCCAGCACGGCUCUCAAUUGGCCUCGGUGACUAACCCAAGGGGAGGAGGGUGUGUGGUGACCUGCUUUGGCUGGAAAUGACAGUGCAUAGCUGCAGUCAGCACCUUAUCCCAGGGUGCUGGUGCAAGUUCCUGGGCUGGCCAGACAUACAGAUAUUUCUGGACCGUGCAGGUCCCUUGGCCACAAGCUUCCCGCCAUCCGCCUGUAUCCCACAGCACCAGCCAUGGGCUCCUCCUGGCUCCUCCCGUGACCUGGGUUCUGUGUUUCCACAGGGCUGCACCUUCCUCCUUCUCCCCGGCCACAACCUGCCCGUCACAGUUGAGCACCUGUUUUCCUGAAGGUGAUUUCCAGAAGCAGGAGUCCCCAGAGCUGGCCAGGGGAUGAACCGCGAGGGGGCCCCCGGGAAGAGUCCGGAGGAGAUGUACGUUCAGCAGAAGGUCCGGGUGCUGCUUAUGCUGAGGAAGAUGGGCUCCAACCUGACGGCCAGCGAGGAGGAGUUCCUGCGCACCUACGCGGGGGUGGUCAACAGCCAGCUCAGCCAGCUACCCCAGCACUCCAUCGACCAGGCAUCACCUGGCCUCUCCUGACCGCUGGAUAGCACCGGUGAUCUCGAGCCUUGGCGGCUGAGUGGCAUUCUGACUCUUGCUGGAUCACAGAAGGCUCUGUUCUGCUCACCGCCCAAGGGCUCCCCUGAAACCUUGUGUCUGGGAGCUGCUUGCCUUUCUGGUACCUGAGAAAACACAAGUAAGGCCGCCCGCAUUCCCACCCUGUACCCUGCAAGGCAGUGGCUGCCCUUUGCACGCAGGAUAAAAAUCUCCCCACCCUUGGGUAGGCAGCCCAAGGCCCUGGUGACCUGGCUCCCGCUAACCUCUGACCUCAUCUCCUGCCACUCUUCCCUGCCCUUCACACCCAGCCCCUUGUCUCCUUUCAUCACCCAGACACGCUGAGCCUGCCCCCACCUCAGGGCUCGUGUGCUGGCUCUUCUUUCUACCUGCAAUUCUUCUCCACAUGGCUGAAUCCUCAGUUUUCAGAUGUCAGCUCAAAUGUCUGUUUGACACUCCCUGUCUCAGUCUGUUCAGGCUGCUAUAACGAAAUAUCACAGACCGGGUGGCUUAUAAACAACAGCAAUUUAUUUCUCACAGUUCUGGAGGCUGCAAGUCCAAGACCAGGGUGCCAGCAUGGUCAGGUUCUGGUCUCACCAGCCCUUUUCUGGGAUGCAAACUGCCAGCUUCUCCCGGUGUCCUCAUGAGGUGGAAGCAGGGAGGGAGCUCUGUGGGGUCUCUUUUAAAAAGGCACUAAUCCCAUUCACGAGGCCUCCACCCUCGUGACCUAAUCACCUCCCAAAAGCCCCACCUCCUAACACCAUCACAUUGGGUGUUAGGAUUGCAACAUACGAAUUUUUUUUUUUGUGGGGUGGGACACAAACAUUCAGACCAUAGCACCCCCUUGAAGGGUCUUCACUGACCACCCUAUUUUCUUAUCUUUAUUUAUUUAUUUUUUUUUUGCGGUACGCGGGCCUCCCACUGCUGCGGCCUCUCCCGCUGCGGGGCACAGGCUCCCGACGCGCGGGCUCAGCGGCCACGGCUCACGGGCCCAGCCGCUCCGCGGCACGCGGGAUCCUCCCGGACCGGGGCACGAACCCGCGUCCCCUGCAUCGGCAGGCGGACUCUCAACCGCUGCGCCACCAGGGAAGCCCCUGACCACCCAAUUUUGCUUUCUCCUCCCUGACAUGCUCUAUCCCAUUUUUCUGUUGAUUUUCUUUAUCUGAAAAAGCCUUAUUUAUGAAUUUCUUCCUUUGCUGGUUUAUCUCUCAUUCCUCCCACUAGAAGGUAAGCUCGUGGGAACAGGAACCUUGUCUGACUUCUGCACUGCUGUGUCUCCAGUACCUGACAUAUUGUAGGCUCUCAAUAAAGAUUUGUUAAAUGAAUGAAUAACCUUGACCUUGAAAUAGCUCCUCUGCUGAGCCCUCUGUGACCCACAGAUACAGUGACCCUAUUUUCUGAACAAAAACAAAGAAAUUUGGGACCUACAGAGAGAAAGGCAUUGUCUGUUUCUCUGGCUGAGGCCUUAGGGCACGUUUCAGGGGGGCUGGGCCCUGACAUCUGUGUGGCAACCCACACCCACAGCCCUGUUGGGCCUGUCUUGGCCGGUAAAGCAACUCCAGGCUCAGGGACGUGCAGUGGUCACAACCUUCUGACUUGCAGGCAGCAGAAACCCACCUCCAACUGGAUCCCGUCGCUGGGGAGGCUCUGGGGGUAAGCUUGUAGGAUGAAGGCAAUUGCUGCAGGAACCAGGGCCUCAGGGACUGGAACUGGGGACUCAGUGCUUUUGAGGGGAUUCUCCUCUUCUAGGUCCAUUGCUGCUUGUUUCUGCUUCACCAUUUGGUCUUAUCAUCUCCUUUCAGACUGACCUCCUCCUACAGCAGCCUCAGUGCCCCAGGCAAUCCCAGGGCAGUGUCUGAUUGGCCCUGCUUGGGUAAUGUGCCACCUUUGGACCAAUCACAGUUGCUGGGGCCUUAGCCACAUCCCCUUCCUGUGACCGGGGUGGGACAGGCCCUUGAGGGCAUCAUCGCCACCAGGGCCACAUGCAGAACAGCAGUGGUGCCUAAAGGGAAUGAUGCUGUGUGAUCGGGGACAGGCCGUCCACCACUGGGCUCUGGUGCUGGCUGAACCCCAGGGGGUGAGAAAUCCCAUGGUGACAUCAAUCCUGGGUGCUCAGCUAACCUGCCACGGGGGUAGGAAGGGGACCUGCCCCUUGAGAUCAGGGUUUUCUUCUUCCACAUGUAGACCUGGUUUUGCCAUCCUAGAGCAGCACUGUGGUGUCAUGUAGCCCCUACCUAGGAUGGCAGGUGUCCCACAAGAGUAAAAGAAGGCCGGCAAAUGCUACAUGCUGCACACAUUCUUUUGGAGAGUCGCAGUAUACUAGAGGUUCUGAGAAGUCCUGCAAUAAAGACAUCCAUUUCAUUUAGCUUUUCAUCUAGCUUUUCCCUCACCUAUUGGAACACAGAACUCAAGUUCUGAGCCCUGCUGCUUAUGGGUUGUGUGUGACUUCUCCAAGCCUCAGUUUCCCCACCUGUGAAAUGAGUGAUAAUACCAACCCCCAUAGGGUGGUUUCAAGUGUGGAAUGGAAGCAGGUCUUUGGUAAGUAUCUUGUGAGCCUGAAAGCGCUAUGCAGACACCUGACCAUUUUCCGGUUUAACCCGGGAAAUAACACAUACUCUGUUUACCUUACGAGGUAAGUAAUCCUGAGUCAUUAAGAUUAGGGGAUGACAAAGGGAAAGAAGGUGACGCAUCCAGGCUUGGCCAGACAGGUGACUAAUUAGAGGUGGGUGCAGAGGAAUUCCAACAGCAGUGCUGUGGAGACUAACGGCUCUGGGGCCAGGAGAACAGAGGCCACAGUGAUGGGAAACCCUGGGAAGAGGUGCUGGGCAGGAGGGAGGUGCUGGCUAUCACUGCUGAGUCUUUCUCAAGGCUUCUAAUCAGACAGCAUCACUGGUGUCCACUCCCCGAGCCUUCCUUGUCCCCCAUGGGGAACUCUGCAUAGGAUAGAGGUGGGUCUAUGAGUUUGCUUGGGCUGCCUUAACAAACACCAUAAGUGACUUAAGAGAAAUUCAUUUUCUAGGGAAGUCCCUGGUGGUCCGGAGGUUAGGACUCCAUGCUUCCACUGCAGGGGGCGUGGGUUUGAUCCUUGGUCGGGAACCAAGAUCCCGCGAGCCGUGCGGUGCAGCCAAAACAAAAAAAAAAAAAAAAAAAAAAAAGAAAGAAAUUCAUUUUCUCUCAGUUCUGGAGGCUAGAUGUCCAAAACCAAGGUGUUGGCAGUGUUGGUCCUGCUGAGGACCGUGAAGGAGAAAUCUGCUCCAGGCCUCUCUCCUUGGCUUGUAGAUGGCUGUCUUCUCCCACGUCUCUUCACAUCAUCCAUCUUCCCUCUACGUGGCUAAAUUUCCCCUUUUUAUGAGGAUAGCAGUCAUAUUGGAUUAGGGCCCACCCACAAGGAUAUCAUUUUAACUUGGUUACUUCUGUCGAGACCCCCUCCCUCCACAUAAGGUCACAUUCUGAGUUACUAAGGGUUAAGACUUAAACAUAACGAACUUUGGAGAGAUACAUUCUACCCAUGAUGGCGGGCAUUCUCCCGAGUGGGAAUCUCCCUCCAUCUCACCAGCCCAACUCCUUGGCCAAAAGCAUGUGGAUUGUGGCCUCCUGGAAGAGAGAUGGAGCCCGUAAUUGUGUUAAUUGCCACAAUACCAAAUCUGCAAUUAAUAUGCCAUGGGAACACAGAACAAAUGCACUAAUAGCACAUAAUUGGACCUAAACUACACCCUCAGCAGGGCCGUGCGACUGAGCUCCGCUGUCCGUGCUCCCUUCCAAAUUAGCAAAGACGAGCGAAUUAACAUCCGUUUCCCCUUCACCCUGCUCCGAGGGGAGCUGAGGAGGAAACUCGGGGAGGGGGGAUGCUUGGCAGGCACCCUAGUUGGGGCCCGUCCAGAGCCGGGCACCAGGCUGGCCUUUGGAGCUGUGGGCAAGAGGAGGGUGUUGAAGGAGUGAGGAAUCCAGAGCUUUCCACAAGUCCUGACACUGGGGCUUUGGCUGACCACCCCCCCACUAGGAUGGCAGAGAGUCUGGUGACUAGGGCAUGACUCACAUGCAAGUGGCAACUAUUUUGAGCCUGGGGCAGGAGGGGUUCGGCUUUGGAAACUUGAGGCCCGGUGCUGGGAUCUCUCGUCCUUAUUCCUGAGGUGGUGGUCGAGUCCGGGGGCAGAUGGCAACCCUCCUCAGAAGGGCAGAUACAAGCUCCUCUGCCCUUUCCGCACGCAGGCCUGACAGCCUUGUGUCUCCUCGGCCCCAGGGACAGCUUUCUGGAGCCUCCUCUGCCCGUGCUUGCCUCCUUCAGCUGCAAGGUGCCCUGCUCGGGCCUGCUGGCAGCCAGCCGGAGCUUCUGUCCUAACACGUGGCAUCCCCGGCCCAGCCAGCGCCCCGCAGAGCCUCCACCUCCUCCGCCCACCACCACGCGUCUGGGGCUCCCUGUCUUCAUCCUUGGCCGCCCCAUCUGCUUCUUCCUUCUUUCCAGCUCCCAGGUCUUGCCCCAGGGACACAGGAAUGGACUGAGCCCGUGGCCUGCGCUUCAGGAGCUCCCAGAGCUGGAAGAGGUAUCGGACAGGACGGAGAUCAGCCGAGCAGUUCUCCCGUCCGGAUGCCCCUCUGACUUUUCCCGGUCUUGCAGAAACUUUCACCAUCGGAGCAGCUUCUGGGAGCUAGU